This 74-nucleotide transfer RNA is filed under the name Thermoleophilia bacterium. Its description in RNAcentral is "tRNA-His". It matches the Rfam family "tRNA". From Rfam's summary of the family: Transfer RNA (tRNA) molecules are approximately 80 nucleotides in length. Their secondary structure includes four short double-helical elements and three loops (D, anti-codon, and T loops). Further hydrogen bonds mediate the characteristic L-shaped molecular structure. tRNAs have two regions of fundamental functional importance: the anti-codon, which is responsible for specific mRNA codon recognition, and the 3' end, to which the tRNAs corresponding amino acid is attached (by aminoacyl-tRNA synthetases). tRNAs cope with the degeneracy of the genetic code in two manners: having more than one tRNA (with a specific anti-codon) for a particular amino acid; and 'wobble' base-pairing, i.e. permitting non-standard base-pairing at the 3rd anti-codon position. The record is from RNAcentral. Lineage: Bacteria; Bacillati; Actinomycetota; Thermoleophilia.
GUGGCUGUAGCUCAGCUGGUUAGAGUCCUCGGUUGUGAUCCGAGUUGUCGUGGGUUCGAGUCCCAUCAGCCACC